RNAcentral lists this transfer RNA (75 nucleotides) under Chloroflexota bacterium. RNAcentral describes it as "Chloroflexi bacterium (sediment metagenome) tRNA-Arg". It matches the Rfam family "tRNA". From Rfam's summary of the family: Transfer RNA (tRNA) molecules are approximately 80 nucleotides in length. Their secondary structure includes four short double-helical elements and three loops (D, anti-codon, and T loops). Further hydrogen bonds mediate the characteristic L-shaped molecular structure. tRNAs have two regions of fundamental functional importance: the anti-codon, which is responsible for specific mRNA codon recognition, and the 3' end, to which the tRNAs corresponding amino acid is attached (by aminoacyl-tRNA synthetases). tRNAs cope with the degeneracy of the genetic code in two manners: having more than one tRNA (with a specific anti-codon) for a particular amino acid; and 'wobble' base-pairing, i.e. permitting non-standard base-pairing at the 3rd anti-codon position. Lineage: Bacteria; Bacillati; Chloroflexota. The record is from RNAcentral.
GCCCCGGUAGUUCAAUGGACAGAACAGGGCACUCCUAAGGCUCUGAUGUGAGUUCGAUUCUCGCCCGGGGCACAA